Molecule: ribosomal RNA, 372 nt
Filed under: uncultured organism
Description: bacterial SSU rRNA
Rfam family: Bacterial small subunit ribosomal RNA
Source: RNAcentral
CGUAGGAGACGAGCGUUAUCCGGAUUUACUGGGCGUAAAGCGUGUGCAGGCGGUUCGGCAAGUUGGAUGUGAAAUCUCCCGGCUCAACUGGGAGGGGUCGUUCAAAACUACCGAACUUGAGGUCAUCAGAGGAAGGUGGAAUUCCGGGUGUAGUGGUGAAAUGCGUAGAUAUCCGGAGGAACACCAGUGGCGAAGGCGGCCUUCUGGUAUGAUCCUGACGCUCAGACACGAAAGCUAGGGGAGCGAACGGGAUUAGAGACCCCGGUAGUCCUAGCUGUAAACGAUGUAGACUUGGCGUCGGAGGGUUCAAAACCUUCGGUGUCGUAGCUAACGCGAUAAGUCUACCGCCUGGGGACUACGGCCGCAAGGUUA